Molecule: ribosomal RNA, 253 nt
Filed under: uncultured bacterium
Lineage: Bacteria
Description: partial 16S ribosomal RNA
Rfam family: Bacterial small subunit ribosomal RNA
Source: RNAcentral
UACGAAGGGGGCUAGCGUUGCUCGGAAUUACUGGGCGUAAAGGGAGCGUAGGCGGAUAUUUAAGUCGGGGGUGAAAGCCCAGGGCUCAACCCUGGAACUGCCUUCGAUACUGGAUAUCUAGAGUAUGGGAGAGGUGUGUGGAACUCCGAGUGUAGAGGUGAAAUUCGUAGAUAUUCGGAAGAACACCAGUGGCGAAGGCGACACACUGGCCCAUUACUGACGCUGAGGCACGAAAGCGUGGGGAGCAAACAGG